Felis catus (domestic cat) is the source of this 1112-nucleotide long non-coding RNA. RefSeq lists it as uncharacterized. The transcript has 3 exons. Lineage: Eukaryota; Metazoa; Chordata; Mammalia; Carnivora; Felidae. The record is from RefSeq and is a predicted model, not a curated record.
CCUUGACCACCCACCACCAAGCCUGUGGACACAUCCGCCUCCGCACCCACCCCACCUCGUCUCAAAGAGCCCGUUCUUUGGUCCCCUCUCUGCUCCAUCUGUCAUUUUUUUCUGAGCCACCUCCUUGGCAUCAGCACCCGAGGAGAACACAGGUGGUUCCUGUAUUUAAAAAUCAAACCAACUUCCUCCCCCUUUCCCCGUGUCCCCUUCCCCAACCACCUCGCUCCUACGCUCAUUAUCUUCGUUCCCCACCGCAGUCCGCCUACUACCACCAGUCCGCUACAGUGUUCUCACCAGGGACCUCAUUGCUGUUAAGCCCAGUGGAGUCCUCACCUUGCUGGACAGCAUCUGACCCUGCCCAGCAGUCCUCGACUUCUGGAAACAUCACCUUGAUUUCGAUGACGACCAAGUCCUCUGAUUUUCUCCGACUUCUCUGUCGGACAUCCUGUACAUCCUGUCAGUCUUUUUCAAGUCACCCAUUCCCUACGUGUUGGAGUCUUCGGGGGGCGCUAAGCUAUCUUCUCCGGUCACCGUACACACUCUCGCUAGAUACCUCUCACCUUGGGAAGCCUGGUGUAAUCUUCUCAGACGACUUCUACACACUCCAUCAUCUCUACGGCCUCCAUGCAGCCACCACGCUGGGUCCCUGUCCCAGGAACAGAGGGCCUUUCCAGAAGAAGCGAAGGUUCUCCUCAUGUACCGCUUUUGCAGGAAGAAAUAGAGAAGCCAGAUAUCUUAAUGCCUGACCAGGGGCCAGCCGUGGUCCCCCCGCUCCCCAUCUGCUAGAAAGUUUCCACACCCACUGGGAGUCCAGCCUGCUGGGAACCAGGGUGGACCUUUGAGUUUUUCUGUGGACUAGAAGACCUGAGUUUCCACUGAAUUCGAUUAUUAAAUUAGCUGUGCAAUCCAGGGCACAUCACUCUCCUUCUCUGACCCUCACUUCCUCUCUGUAAUUAAGGAAUUUGGACUAAAUGAUCUCUUAAGUUCUUUUUAGCUCCACAGUUCUAUUCUCGCUUUCUAAGUUGCCAUUUAUAGAUGUGGAAAGGUAGGGGCACCUGGGUGGCUCAGACGGUGAAGUGUCGGACUUCAGCUCAGGUCAUGAUCUCACGGCU